Molecule: long non-coding RNA, 377 nt
Organism: Strongylocentrotus purpuratus (purple sea urchin)
Lineage: Eukaryota; Metazoa; Echinodermata; Echinoidea; Camarodonta; Strongylocentrotidae
Exons: 3
Source: RefSeq, a predicted model, not a curated record
UUCCGGCUCGUGUUCGACGAACUUCUGGACCCAGAAAAGAACGUCCUUUUCCGAUAUAUCAACGAGCAUGACCCUACCCAGUCACAAGUCUGGUUCAGAGAGGAAUGCCCCAACAACGAUACAGCGAUGAUGUGUGGUCUACUGUUUAGGUUGUCAUUGUUCAACAACGCACUUGUACCAUUGCCAGCUUUCCCACAACUGCUCUAUGCGAAGCUCCUAGGAAAAGGCCCCGGUGAGGAAAUGGAGGAAAUUCGAGAGCUUGACAAAGACUUCGCAGAUCAAAUGUCGAAACUACUAUCGACAGAGGAAGAGUUAUUGAGCGAGCUAGAGCUAGAGCUAGAGCUAGAGAAUGGAAAAAGAGACGAGGUCACCAAAGC